UUAAGGUCCUAAAGGAGAAUUCUGACUCUGAAAUUCAGAAGAAUGAGAGGCAUUUGGCAGUUAAGUCUGUGGGGCUGCAGCCCAGAAAGCUUGCAUCAAGAGUUCUGUUUCUAGUGGCCAGCUUUGAUAGUGUGGUACUUACUGGGCAGUACUCAGCUCUGGGGGGAGAAAAGCAUGGCAUCUGUAUCUGGUACAAAUAGGCUGUUUGAAGCAGCUGGAUUGGGCUAACAGCACUGGUAGCCAGGAGAGGAAGAAAAGGAGAGAAAGCUUACAGAUUUUUGUGAGGAUACCCUACAAUGCUUCGAAGAAAAAAUGGUGAUAAACUAAAUUAUAAUACUCAUUGGGGCUGGGCUUCCAGGUCAGAAUUAUGAAUGAAGUAUCAGUGAUGCAAAGAACUGUGAGGCUGCAAAGUUACCAGCUGCUGUUCAGGUCCCUCAAAGAUGUCCAUGUUCCACGGAGGAUGCCACAGCAAGCCUUGCAAUUAUAGGAGUGCAUCCAACACGUGCGGUGGAAAAAGAGGCUCUUCUCAGUGCUCUUUGUGGAUGAGUAGGAGUGAUGCUGAUUCCCACAACAGGAUGAAAAUGGUAACGACGCAGUGCUUAAAAAAAGGAGAAUGAGCCGCCCCUCAGUCCGGUGGCGCCUGUUGACACGUCAUGCUGUAACGCACACUCCACAGGAAGGAAGAUAAGGUGGCAUUUCAGAGAUGUUCAUACCAUAGGAUGCCCACUGCUUGGGAUGAGGGGCAGGGUGGCUGUCAGCACUCCCAUCUCAGGAGCUGUUUUUGGUAGCAGCCACGGGGAAAGCCAAAGAAGUCAAGCACUGAGGGAUGAAGACAAAGAACAAACAUUAUAAGGGACACAGAUUAUUAAAAGAAGCUUGGCCACACUACCUCCCCAUAAGCGACUGCCGUUUGUGUUAUCACAGUGCUGAAGGAGAGCUGGGAGUGAGCUGUCAGCGGAUGGGCCUGCUGAAGCGAAUCACGUUCUGCACUGCGUGCUCUGCAGCUCCCGAACAAAACGGGCUAAGCAGGAAACAAAAGCUGGGCUCUGACUCCUGCUGCACUGGCUCAAAGGCAGGACACGUGGCAGGACGGGCCCAGGGAAGGGCUGGGGCAGAGCCCCACAGGUGCCUUCACACCCCCGCGGUUCCGUGAUCGUGUGCCUGAGGUCGGAGCUCUCCUAUGCUGCACGUGUAUGGGAUGGGAUCGCCGCUCCUGGGCCUCGGGGGCUCAUGACUCGAAAUGUGAAUCUAAUUUUUUUCUUUAGGAAGAUUUGACUUCAAAUGCCAUUAAAUCACGCAGUUAUAGAA
Molecule: long non-coding RNA, 1308 nt
Filed under: Gallus gallus (chicken)
Lineage: Eukaryota; Metazoa; Chordata; Aves; Galliformes; Phasianidae
Description: lncRNA (ENSGALG00010024411.1)
Source: RNAcentral